CACCUGCCUUGCUUCCCUUCUCAUCUCGCACAUCAGUCUCCUAUGUAUAUGGGAUACAUGACUAUCUCGCUCGCCUAUCUCCCUAUUUUAGUGUAUCUGGUAGCAAAAAUACAUGUAUUCAUGUGUAUCUUCCACAAUAUAUGAUAGGAAACUUUUAAUUAGUGUUAAGAUACAUAAUUAUUUGAAAGUAUAGAUAGAAUUAGAUAUAUAUAUAUAUAUGGAAUGAAUAUAUGUAUAAUAAGGUAGUUUUACCUAAAACUUUGCUUAUGAUGCCUAAGGAAAAGAUUCCAUAUUGAAUAGUGUCUUUUUGAAAAGAAAAAAAAAUCAACAAGAUUUUUUGCAAAAUAAGAAUUACUUCAUUUAUUAUUUAAAUAAAUCAACAUACGUCAAGAGAGAGAAAUCCAUUUUAUCCAAAAACAAAAUAUUUCAAUUUUAAGAAUAUGAAAAACAAAUUUUAAAUAGUUAAAUGGCCUUUACUUUAGGAUUUUCUGCCAAAAAUAAAAUAAAAUUGUAGUUCUUCUUUCUUUGAGUUUGGUUUUAAAAUAUCUUUUGGAAAAAAAAAGUUUCCGAAACGUCUUUCUCCAAAAAUUAGAACCAAAAUUCACUCAUAACAUGCAUCUUCAUUGAGAGAUGGCUGGAAGAAAAUGAGAGGGAUAGAGACUAAAUCUGUUGAAGCAUAUGUAUGUACUAUUUUAGCUACUUGUUCAUGUAAAAGGUUACGUACGUUAAUUAGGCCAAAAGUGACAGCUGCAAAAACUGAAUUAUGGUCCCAACUUCAUUAGUUCAAAUUUGAGUCAAUUAUGGCUUCUCUUGACCUAGGAUUUGGAUAGGUCAGAGGUGUUAACUCUACUUCUAAUUUUUCAAAACACUAAAGGUUUAUGGAAUAUGAAUGAGUAUCUGAAUAAUGAGAUUACUAUAAAACGACUGCUUAAUUGUGUAAUUGAUUUCAAAGAAAAACGUUAUAAUAGAUUUUACAAAAGGCUAAUGAAAUAAAACACCAACUUAACCUAGAUCCUUCAGUUGAUAAAUUUAAGGGUAAAAAAUCUAACUAUACAAUCCAGGCACCCUAAAAUAUUGUAUAACAUUAGGUUUAAUUAACAACAACAUUCUCAAUCAAAAUUUUUUCUUAAAGCUUAUAACACACAGAUUUUACGAGGAUAUUUUUUUCCCUCUGUCUUUACGUUUUAUAAGGUUAAUUAAGUUGAUGCCCUACAUCAAUAUGUUUUCUUCAUAAUUUAUCAAUUUUAACAUUUUAAAACAAAAAAACUACAACUUCCUCAGUUUUGUAUUACUUGAUACACGUUGACCUGACACACUUUUAAAUAAAUUUAGUAUUAGAGUUGUAUUUUACUAAACUAAUUUUAUGUAUAUAGUUAUUAUAAUUAAGGGUAGGGUGAGAUUUUUUUUUAUAAAACUCUCUUAAUUUGUUAAAAUAGACAAGUAAAAUUAAACAUCUAUUUUUAGUAUAGGAGUCAAGUAAAAUGAAACAGAAGGAAUACUAAAUACUCUAUGAUGUGUCUCAUAUUAGCUAUUUUAUUUUGCUACUCAAGAGUCGAUGACUACUCUUCAGAGCUUAAUUAAGAUUAGUCUUAUUUAAUACUUUAAAAUUACAAUUUAAAUAUUUAAAAACUAUACAAAAAAUAUUAUAAGUUACUAUUAUUUCUAAUAUCAAUAUAAAAGGUUUACUAAAAAUACUAAUUAAAAUUGACUGCAAAAGGUGUGAAACAUGACAAGUAUUGAAUAGAGUAAUUAGUAUUCAAUUCGGACCAAAGCUAACGGCCAGUAAGUAUAACCACUUUAGUGUACAUUAAGCUACAUUCCAGAUAAAAAAAAUAACGACAACAACAGCAAUAAUACCGAUUUAUAUUAACGUGACACAUUGCAUUCAUGCACAAAUAGUUCCAAACGUAUAAUGACAAAACAAAUUAGAAGCCAAAUUAGUCAUAAUCUCAUUAGAAGAUUAUUAGUCAAAUAAACGUGACCUCAAAGCGAAAGAUCAGAAGAAACGGAUGGCCAUUAUUCAAAGUGUAAAUUUCACUUAUCCUUGCAAAUUGGGCAAGGAGAAAGAUGGUUGAUAAAUGAUUCUUUGAUUGAAAACAUAAUUAAAAAUUUUAAACACGUUAUUUUUAACUAUUCAAAUUUUUAGACGAAAGAAUUACAGAAUCAAUUAGGGGCAGAAGUAAAAAUUAAAAUACAAGUUCGACCGAAUUCAUAAUGUUUUAUGAUUGCAUUAAUUUGAGUGUUGCAAUCAUAUAUGUGUUGAAUCAAAUUGAAUUCGCGUGUAAGAUAAGAAAGGUACACGUCUUAUAGUGCAAAUUGGGAGGAGCAACUUUCAAUAUGGGCAAUACAGCCACUAAAGUAGGCCUCCAACUCCACUUCAACCUCAAACCCCACUCUCUUCAUGUAGCCCACCUAUAUAUAUACCUAAGUCCAUUUUGAGUUACUUGACUUUCACAAUCAAGUUGACCUUCUAAAAGUUACACUCCUAUGUAGAGGCGGAGUCAGUAUUAGGAGUUUGGGUUCUAAAUUUCCUUCCUUCUCCUUAACAUUGAGUUAGCAAUUAAUUUUGUUAGGGGUUCACAAGUUAUUACUUAUAUUUCUGGUAAAAAUAUAGAGUACGGAAAAGCUACUGGGUUUGUCCGAAUCAUGAACCCCCACCUAGCUCCGCCUAGUAGUAAGAAAUUGUUGGAGUAUAGUAAAUUAUAAUAAUACUGAAGUGUGUUACUGUAGUGGUAUAAAUUCACAUGAAAAUAGUCAAUUAUUCGUUGUGUAAUUCAUAUAUUUACUAAUAGCAUAAUCAUUCACUAAUUAUCCACCAUCAACUCAUGAUCUACAAUACUAUGAUUCCAUUAUUUUGUUAUUUAAUUUAUGGAAGGAAGCUGUUCUUUUGGUGAAAUUUUGGAUGCUUCAAUUAUUCUAGAGUUAUUUGAGUUAUACGACAUAAUUGAAUUGUUGUAUUUAAUUAGAGGAAAUAAGUUAAGAGUUAUACUCUAUAAUCCUUAAAGAGAAUGAGAUAUUCAAGUCUUAGCCUGAAAAUUUAUUUAUUCAUUUUUGUGUAUUUUAUAUUCAACUGUAAUUUGUGAUAUACAAAAAAAUAAUACAAAAAUUGCCUUACUUGUUUGAACUAUGAUUUUAAAACAGAUUUGCGAGGUGUAAACCUCCACGUAAGGGGGAUUCAGUUCCAUAGUUUUUUUUUUAAAAAUAUUUUAAAAUAAAAUAGAGUUUAGAAACGGAUAAAAAUGAAAAUUAUGAUAAAGAUUGCAAGAACCAAUUUCAUUCCACGGCCACCUACAAUGUCUCUUUACAUUACAUAAGAUUAAGUAAAAAAGCAAACUAGCUAACCAAAAAGCAUACCGUCCAUUUUAGAGAUCCCAAAGUUAGGUUAAAGUCUUUAAUUUUCAAUAAUUUUCAUCUUUUUAUUUGAUUGGGAGUUUUUUUGUAGCUAAAAAAUAACUGACAUAAGGAAAACUUACAAUAAUAAAAUUGAGAAUAAGGGGUGCUUACCAUUUGACAUGCGAGUAGUCGAGCACCUUGUUUCAAUAAAAAAUUGUUGAUCAUGCAAAGUAUUCAUAAUUGUCGGAUAAUUUUGUGAACUAUCAACACUGAGUCACUAAUAAUGUUGAUUUUGUCUCAUUCCUUCAAACUAAUAAUUAAGAUGAUGAUGUGAUCAACAAUUCCUCCAAACUAGUCUUAGUUAGAUAAUUACGUGACCAACUCCUCCUACCUUAUCCUUUUAUCUUCAUGCUUUGUUCUGCAAUGA
Molecule: long non-coding RNA, 3760 nt
Filed under: Solanum tuberosum (potato)
Lineage: Eukaryota; Viridiplantae; Streptophyta; Magnoliopsida; Solanales; Solanaceae
Description: long non-coding RNA (STUB_LNC003002)
Source: RNAcentral